AGAUGUGAAAGAGCAGAUCAUGUCUUACUUUUGCAGAUCUUUUAUAGUGCGGUGCCGUGAAAAAAAUAAGGUAAAUGAGAUUGAGCAGAUACAGAAGGUGAAAUUACCAUACUUAGUACAUUGUGGUGAUGAAAAUAAAUCAGAGUGACAGGCUGCAAAAUAUCGCCUCCCAAAUCAUGGCAGCCCAAUUCAGGCUUUUUAAAACAAAGCUCUGCUCCAUUUGAUCUAUGCUUGCCAUAUCAAAUUUGUAAGGCCUGAUAAUGAUCUCCAGAUGCUG
This 277-nucleotide long non-coding RNA is filed under the name Musa acuminata (dwarf banana). RNAcentral describes it as "long non-coding RNA (MACU_LNC006453)". The record is from RNAcentral. Lineage: Eukaryota; Viridiplantae; Streptophyta; Magnoliopsida; Zingiberales; Musaceae.